RNAcentral lists this ribosomal RNA (253 nucleotides) under uncultured bacterium. RNAcentral describes it as "partial 16S ribosomal RNA". It matches the Rfam family "Bacterial small subunit ribosomal RNA", at positions 524 to 776 of the family's 1533-position model. The record is from RNAcentral.
UACGUAGGGUGCAAGCGUUAAUCGGAAUUACUGGGCGUAAAGCGUGCGCAGGCGGCUUUGCAAGACAGAUGUGAAAUCCCCGGGCUUAACCUGGGAACUGCAUUUGUGACUGCAUGGCUAGAGUGCGGCAGAGGGGGAUGGAAUUCCGCGUGUAGCAGUAAAAUGCGUAGAUAUGCGGAGGAACACCGAUGGCGAAGGCAAUUCCCUGGGCCUGCACUGACGCUCAUGCACGAAAGCGUGGGGAGCAAACAGG